Molecule: long non-coding RNA, 483 nt
Organism: Anguilla rostrata (American eel)
Lineage: Eukaryota; Metazoa; Chordata; Actinopteri; Anguilliformes; Anguillidae
Exons: 2
Source: RefSeq, a predicted model, not a curated record
CUACAGUACCUCCUCUGACUUCCCGGCAGUCCAGGACCAUGAGCAACAGGUGCUGAGCAGCCCUGCACCGAAUGCUGGUUUAAAAAAAAUACUCCAAAUUUGGUGAGCACAACCGGAGCAGGUGGUAGCGUAACAGCGCUCGAGCUAAGCAAACAGCACACCUUGCGGAGCAGCUAAGGGCAAGGGGAGAGCUGUGGGAGCGUACGGAGGGGAACAGAACCCCCAGCCGCGGAAACCGACUCCACCUUUCUGCGGGCGGGGGAGAGGAUGGAGAACCGGGGAGGGUCCGCAGGGAUGGAAUAAGAAAAAGCAAGAAAAAGAGAGAGAGCGAGUCUUGUUUAUACUGCCGUUGAAGACAAGCUGUCGAAUAAACCUGUGCUCGAUAGUGCGUGUAAGGUUGUGUUUGUAAAAGCUGUGUUUGUUUUUGCAUUUUUUUUCUUUGUUGUUUUUCUGGUCAUGAGAAAAUUUGGUCUUUGUCUCAAA